This 464-nucleotide ribosomal RNA is filed under the name uncultured bacterium. RNAcentral's name for it is "partial 16S ribosomal RNA". It matches the Rfam family "Bacterial small subunit ribosomal RNA", at positions 28 to 507 of the family's 1533-position model. The record is from RNAcentral.
GACGAACGCUGGCGGCGUGCUUAACACAUGCAAGGCGAACGGUAAGGCCCCAGCUUGCUGGGGUACACGAGUGGCGAACGGGUGAGUAACACGUGGGUGACCUGCCCCGCACUUCGGGAUAAGCCUGGGAAACUGGGUCUAAUACCGGAUACGACCGCACCGCGUGGGUGGGGUGGAAAGUUAUUCGGGGUGGGAUGGGCCCGCGGCCUAUCAGCUUGUUGGUGGGGUAAUGGCCUACCAAGGCGGCGACGGGUAGCCGGCCUGCGAGGGUGGACGGCCACAUUGGGACUGAGACACGGCCCAGACUCCUACGGGAGGCAGCAGUGGGGAAUAUUGCACAAUGAGCGGAAGCCUGAUGCCGCGACGCCGCGUGGGGGAUGACGGCCUUCGGGUUGUAAGCUCCUUUCACCAUCGACGAAGGUUUUCUGACGGUAAAUGGAGAAGAAGCACCGCCUAACUCCGUG